GAUGAACGCUGGCGGCGUGCCUAAUACAUGCAAGUCGAGCGAACAGACGAGGAGCUUGCUCCUCUGACGUUAGCGGCGGACGGGUGAGUAACACGUGGAUAACCUACCUAUAAGACUGGGAUAACUUCGGGAAACCGGAGCUAAUACCGGAUAAUAUAUUGAACCGCAUGGUUCAAUAGUGAAAGACGGUUUUGCUGUCACUUAUAGAUGGAUCCGCGCCGCAUUAGCUAGUUGGUAAGGUAACGGCUUACCAAGGCAACGAUGCGUAGCCGACCUGAGAGGGGGAUCGGCCACCCGGGAACUGAGACACGGUCCAGACUCCUACGGGAGGCAGCAGGAGGGAAUCUGCCGCAAGGGGCGAAAGCCUGACGGAGCAACGCCGCGUGAGUGAUGAAGGUCUUCGGAUCGUAAAACUCUGUUAUUAGGGAAGAACAAAUGUGUAAGUAACUAUGCACGUCUUGAGGGUACCUAAUCAGAAAGCCACGGCUAACUACGU
RNAcentral lists this ribosomal RNA (496 nucleotides) under uncultured bacterium. Its description in RNAcentral is "partial 16S ribosomal RNA". It matches the Rfam family "Bacterial small subunit ribosomal RNA", at positions 28 to 506 of the family's 1533-position model. The record is from RNAcentral.